Molecule: ribosomal RNA, 468 nt
Filed under: uncultured bacterium
Lineage: Bacteria
Description: partial 16S ribosomal RNA
Rfam family: Bacterial small subunit ribosomal RNA
Source: RNAcentral
GAUGAACGCUGGCGGCGUGCUUAACACAUGCAAGUCGAACGGAAAGGCCCUGCUUUUGUGGGGUGCUCGAGUGGCGAACGGGUGAGUAACACGUGAGUAACCUGCCCUUGACUUUGGGAUAACUUCAGGAAACUGGGGCUAAUACCGGAUAGGAGCUACUGCUGCAUGGUGGGGGUUGGAAAGUUUCGGUUGUUGGGGAUGGACUCGCGGCUUCUGAGCUUGUUGGUGGGGUAGUGGCUUACCAAGGCUUCGACGGGUAGGCGGCGUGAGAGGGUGACCGGCCACAUUGGGACUGAGAUACGGCCCAGACUCCUACGGGAGGCAGCAGGGGGGAAUAUUGCACAAUGGGCGGAAGCCUGAUGCAGCGACGCCGCGUGCGGGAUGACGGCCUUCGGGUUGUAAACCGCUUUCGCCGGUGACGAAGCGGGAGUGACGGUACUGGGUAAAGAAGCACCGGCUAACUACGUG